GCACACUUUUUAAUUUUUCUUCCUCCUCUUUUUUAUUUCUUUCUUUCUUUCUUUCUUUUCUUCUUAGGACUUAGGCACAGGGAUGUCUUGCUGUGUGUUCCAAGUGGCCUCAGGUGAGAGCUGCAUAGCUGAAAGUUCAUCUGGAAUGCAGAUCAUGUCAAGUUUGGACAGGCAUGAGCCUUAACUCACUGAGUGAGAAAGGGGAAUGGAAUCUGGUCCUGCAACAAGUGAGUUGAAAUGUGAUCCUGAGGGAGCAUACCUGCACAGUAGCCAACUACUUGAAACCUGCAAUAAACCCAUAGCUGAGUCUUCAUGGGAUUUAUAGCUCCCAGUCCCAGUGAAGGGUAUGGAUUUUUUCUGGUUUAUUCACUCAUUUUGUAGGUCACACUUUCUUGUCACACUAUCCAUGGAUUAGUAUCAAUCUGGAG
Molecule: long non-coding RNA, 428 nt
Filed under: Cyanistes caeruleus (blue tit)
Lineage: Eukaryota; Metazoa; Chordata; Aves; Passeriformes; Paridae
Description: lncRNA (ENSCCEG00000011416.1)
Source: RNAcentral